AUUACUAGUUGGUUAUUAUUCUGUUUCAUUUUGGUCUAAAAUUAUCAUUAGUUUUUGGAGAAGAAUGAUAUCUGCACUUCUAUAUUUAAUGUACUGGAACAGUACAACAAUAGGUAAUAGCCACAUUGUUUUAACAUGCUUCUGCAUUUGUGGUGUGACUGGAUGAUUCUAUUGUCUGUUGCUCCCGCCACCAUAUUGAAUUGUAAAUUGCACGUGUAUGUAUGUGUAGGUGUGUCGGCUCUAAUGUCCAAGCCAAUAAAAAUUAAUUUUUUAACUGGACACCUAAUUAGAAGUGCCUUGAGUAGUGGUAAUAGAUUUUUCAUAAACACUAACCGUGGGAGUAUCACAUCUAGCUUUCACACAAACUCUAGCCCUCUUUGUAAGGGGUGUUAGUUCUAAAAUUUCAUCACCUCAAUCUUUGGUCCUUAUUAAUUUUUAAUUUAUUUGUUGAAUACAUAUAUAAUACGGUUGCUUUGGUUUAUUCAUUUUUCUAACUUUAAAACUUUGCUUCAAAUUUUGUUCAUGUGGAAUUAUUUUCCUUAACUAAAGCGUCGAAAUUUUACAUUGAUGUUAUAUAUGUGUCCGCGUGCAACCAUUCUGCCAAAGAUGCAUGAUGCGUAUAAAUCAUGAUUAUACAUAUGAGAAGAUGUGUAUAUUAGUUAGCUAAUUAAUAACAAUUAACUUAAUUCUAUAAACUCUGAUUUCAAAUGAUUCCCUUUUAAGUUAGUAUAAAAAGAAAGUUUAUGCGCAUGUGCUGUUGGUAAUUAUAUAAUGUUAUUGCUCUAUCCCAUAUAUAGAUGUCAUCAAUAACUAUGUUAUAAUAAUAUGAUGUGAAAAUAGUCUUUUCAAUAAUUAUGCUAUAUUCCAAUAAAUUAUGAAAGCUUUUGCACAUUAGAAUCUGCAUAAUAAGAUUUGAUUCCUCUUAUUAUUUAGGCAAUUAGUACAACGUGGCAAUAUAUCAUGAGGUUCUCAGAUAAAAAGAUAGAUUCAUUGUUAUAAUGUUAAUUUGAUUUUUGAUUUCUCAGCUUUUGGAUACAUAGUAAAGAUCAAUUAUCUUAAUUUAUCAUCCUCAUUGACUUAUAUUGUUGCAUUUUAUAGACAGGGUAUUAAACUUGCUCUGUUUUGAUAUCAAAGAUUAAGGCUUAGUUAUAUUUAUUUUAAAUCAUUUGGUUCUAAUUAUAUCUUUGUUUUUUGGCAGCUCUGUUCCAUUGAUAGACUUAUAUUGUUGCAUUUAGAGCCAAACGAUGCUUCAAGUGUUCCUAAUACACCUUUGGAUGCAAGAGGAUCAUCUGGUGCUAGCAACCCUUAGAUUGCUUAUAAUGUAUUUCGGAUUUAGAGUUUAGUAUAAGGCUAAUUUGACAAUGUUAUGGAUUUUAUGUUGUACUUGAAUUUAUAAUAGAAGUUUGAAUUGUAAAUCUUUGAACUAUAUGUUGGUAUUUUGGUUAUUAGCAAUGGAAUUUCUUCAUCCA
Non-coding RNA from Cajanus cajan (pigeon pea), 1469 nucleotides. Lineage: Eukaryota; Viridiplantae; Streptophyta; Magnoliopsida; Fabales; Fabaceae. The record is from RefSeq and is a predicted model, not a curated record.